RNA transcript from Mandrillus leucophaeus (drill), 1325 nucleotides. It is a transcript of the gene named mitochondrial import inner membrane translocase subunit TIM50 pseudogene, with no coding region annotated. NCBI's taxonomy places the organism in Eukaryota, Metazoa, Chordata, Mammalia, Primates, Cercopithecidae. The record is from RefSeq and is a predicted model, not a curated record. The transcript has a single exon.
AUGGCUGCCUCAGCAGCGCUGUUCUCGCGCUUGCGGAGCGGGCUCCGACUCGGCUCACUGGGACUGUGCACGAGGUUGGCGACGCCGCCCCUCCGGGCCCCAGAUCAGCCCGCAGAGAUCGGGAGACGCGGGGGCACUAAGGCACAAGGGCCACAGCAGCAGCCAGGCUCAGAGGGUCCCAGCUAUGCCAAAAAAGUUGCGCUCUGGCUUGCUGGGCUGCUUGGAGCUGGUGGGACCGUGAGCGUCGUCUAUAUCUUUGGAAACAACCCAGUGGACGAAAAUGGUGCCAAGAUUCCUCAUGAGUUCCACAAUGAUCCAAUUCUGGUACAGUAGUUGCGCCGGACAUACAAAUAUUUCAAAGAUUAUAGACAGAUGAUCAUCAAGCCCAUCGGCCCUUGCCUUCUCCCAGACCCACUGCAGGAGCUGUACUACCAGCCACCCUACACGCUCGUUUUGGAGCUCACCGGCGUCCUCUUGCAUCCUGAGUGGUCACUGGCUGGAGGUUUAAGAAGCGCCCAGGCAUCGAGACCUUGUUCCAGCAGCUCACCCCUUUAUAUGAAAUUGUCAUCUUUACGUCAGAGACUGGCAUGACUACGUUUCCACUCAUUGAUAGCGUGGACCCCCACGGCUUCAUCUCCUACCGCCUAUUCCGGGAAGCCACAAGAUACAUGAAUGGACACCAUGUUAAGGACAUUUCAUGUCUGAAUCGCGACCCAGCUCGAGUAGUAGUUGUGGACUGCAAGAAGGAAGCCUUCCGCCUGCAGCCCUAUAAUAGCGUCGCCCUGCAGCCCUGGGACGGCAACCCUGAUGACCGGGUCUUGUUGGACCUGUCUGCCUUCCUCAAGACUAUUGCACUGAACGGUGUGGAGGACGUGUGAAACGUACUGGAGCACUACGCCCUGGAGGAUGAUCCGCUGGCAGCUUUCAAACAGCAGCAAAGCCGGCUAGAGCAGGAGGAGCAGCAGCGCCUGGCCGAGCUCUCCAAGUCCAAGAAGCAGAACCUCUUCCUCGGCUCCCUCAUCAGCCGCUUGUGGUCUCGCUCCAAACAGCCCUGAACUCCGGGCCUCCUCAAACUCAGUGCCGGGGUCCAGAGCCCCAGUGCUUCCAGACCAAAACUUGGGCCACCACUGUCCAAUAAAGUACAUCCCAGAUGCCACACCUGCUGUGUCCCGAGAGUCUCCAGAUGGGGGCAUCAGGAUGAGGUCCGGGACUCUCAGGUCACCAUCCCACAGUGGCUGAUUGGCUGCCAAGCACAGAGUAGGGGCUUUGUUGGAUCACAGCGGAUUUUUCACCCUGGUCUGGGAAUGUAAAAACCCUCGCUGUGU